This 301-nucleotide ribosomal RNA is filed under the name uncultured bacterium. RNAcentral describes it as "partial 16S ribosomal RNA". It matches the Rfam family "Bacterial small subunit ribosomal RNA", at positions 509 to 807 of the family's 1533-position model. The record is from RNAcentral.
CAGUCGCCACGGUAAUACGUAGGUGGCAAGCGUUGUCCGGAUUUAUUGGGCGUAAAGCGAGCGCAGGCGGUCAAUUAAGUCUGAUGUGAAAGCCCCCGGCUCAACCGGGGAGGGUCAUUGGAAACUGGUUGACUUGAGUGCAGAAGAGGAGAGUGGAAUUCCAUGUGUAGCGGUGAAAUGCGUAGAUAUAUGAAGGAACACCAGUGGCGAAGGCGACUCUCUGGUCUGUAACUGACGCUGAGGCUCGAAAGCGUGGGUAGCAAACAGGAUUAGAUACCCGGGUAGUCCCUGUCUCUUAUAC